AUGCUAAUAGCAAGUCUGAUCAAACUAGAAAAGUUUGAAGUGUGGUUUAACAAUGUAUUGCAUGUCUGUUAUUUAAGAAUCACUCUUUUUUACCCGAAAUUUGAAGUAGCAAAUUUUUCCUUAAAGUACAUUGGUGGUUCUUUUGUUAUAAAGAAUGCUUAUGGGAGAGGGAGUAUUAAGCAUAUGAGAGUACUAUCUAAUCAACUUGAGCCUUCCUAUAAACAAGAUAAAAACCCACUAAUGUCAUUUCCUACAUAAGUUCCAGUACUUGGAUCUGUUAUUUCAUUGGUUUGGGCAUUCCCUCUAAUGGUGUGGAUAACAAGCCUUUCAUAACUUCUCAUUCUUUAUGGUGCUUUUUCAAUAUCUUUCUAAAGUUCUCCAUAGAAAACCCACCCAGUUUCUCUGACUUUUUAAAAACUUAAAAAACUCGUUACUAGUGACAAUCUUUAGCUAACUAUCUCUUGACUCAUUCGGAUUAUUUUACAUUUCUGGAUGUUCAUGUCAAUUAUACUUUUUAAUCCACUUUUUAUGUACAAGUAAGGUUAUCUGUUCACUUCCCCCAUAUAUGUUUUCAUUGCCUUUUAGAGUAUUUGUAAUUUUGUGCCUGCUAAGAUCAUGGUGUCUUAUAAUUCCCACAUAGCAUUAUUGGUAAAGUACCCAUGAUAUUGAAAAGCAAUGUGCAAUUGUGCAAAUGUUCUUCAGUCCAAUCAGGAGAUUCUGGGAUUCUAGUUUAUUACUCCUCUUUAUCUGUCAUAAUUAUCCUUCCAACAGCAUUUUUAAGCUGGAUAAUGAGUACUUUUCAUCCACCUGGUUUUUUCACUGUGGAUAAUCCCACAUUUUCCAAACUACUCUGACUGUCACUAAAGAAGCUUUCAAAUAUUAUGGGGCUCAAUGGUAUUGGCAUAAAACAUUCUGCAACUAACAUUUGGAGAAGCUCUCCAGUAAUAGGUAAUACUUUGGAAUCUGUGCAGCAGUGGUGUCAAACAAAGUUACCAGUAAACCAUGUAUAAGGAUCCCGGUAAACCACAUGUUAACAGUUUUGAAAUGUAAUGUUAUCUGUUUUGUUGUACAUUUAUUUAUUUUGUUAAAUAUUUCCUAAUUACAUUUUUAUCUGUUUCAAAUCACAGUGGGUAGUGGGCAGUAUUGUAGCUACUUGUGUCACAGGUUGUAUGUUUGAUAUGUCUGGCAUAUGGGAUAUGUUCCAUUAAUCUUAAAAACAGUAUGGGUGAGCCUUUGUGUCCCCGUUUUAUGCCUUAUUGACAUAACUUCAUUAGUAUGAUUUGUUAUAGAAUCUUGUAUAAUUUUAAUUUGAUUGGGAGACAUCCUGUUAGAGGAGAGUAUUUAAGGCUGCAAUUUGUUCUCCUGAAUUGAAUGCUUUUUUAAAAAAAUCAAUAAACAAUGGAUGCAACAAGAUUGUGUGUUCUUC
This 1426-nucleotide long non-coding RNA is filed under the name Monodelphis domestica (gray short-tailed opossum). Its description in RNAcentral is "lncRNA (ENSMODG00000051528.1)". The record is from RNAcentral. Lineage: Eukaryota; Metazoa; Chordata; Mammalia; Didelphimorphia; Didelphidae.